Non-coding RNA from Nelumbo nucifera (sacred lotus), 806 nucleotides. The record is from RefSeq and is a predicted model, not a curated record. Lineage: Eukaryota; Viridiplantae; Streptophyta; Magnoliopsida; Proteales; Nelumbonaceae.
CGCCAGCACAACUCUGACAAAUAACGGCUAGCCACGCCAAGCCGUUAUUUGACAGAAGAUCGCCACAAUAGAGAUUUGGAGGCGGUUACACCUGAUAUGUCAGAAGACCACUAUAUAAGGACCCCGACCCCCAAGGGCAAGGGGAUCGCGUGAUCAUCACUCUUAGCUCCUUGAUUUCUCUGCAUCUCUCUCUCUCUCUCUCUCACACACACAGCUCCCAGUCUAAGUUACUAACUUGAUCGUCAGAGUGUUCCCGCCGGGUGAAUCUCCCGGGAUCCUUCAUCUUCUUCCUCGCAAGUGCCUCUCGUCUGACGCCAGCUAGGAGCAAAGCCACUUCCAGCUAGGAGUGACCCGAUCACGCUCCAUCACCUGUCAUGCAGAGGAUGUUCGUCAUGCUCGUGAGUACCUUUCUAAAUUGGGUGACCUUAGCAGACUCAGAUUUUUGCAAAGAUUGAAAAUGUUGAGGGUUUAACCCGUUUUGGUGAGAUCCUACAUGAAGCUGAUGGCAUUAUCCUCGUGGCAAUCUGGGCAUUGAUCUCCCACCUGAGAAGGUUUUCUUAUUUCAAAAAUCUGUUGUCUACAAGUGCAACAUGGCUGGAAAACCUGCAGUUGUUACCCGAGUUGUGGAUAGUAUGACUGAUAACCUGGGACCAACUCGUGCUGAGGCUACUGAUGUUGCAAAUGCCGUAUUGGAUGGAAGUGAUGCAAUUCUUCUAGGUGCAGAGACAUUGGAAGAUGUGCUGCAUUAUUAGAGAAUUCGAUUAUUUUUUAAGUUCUUGUACUAUUUAUAUGUCAAUUGGAUAUUG